CUGGCUCAGAACGAACGCUGGCGGCGCGUCUUAAGCAUGCAAGUCGAACGGCAAGAGGUAGCAAUACCUCCUAGAGUGGCGGACUGGUGAGUAACACGUGGGUGACAUACCCUUCAGAUGGGGAUAGCUAUUAGAAAUAGUAGAUAAUACCGAAUACGAGCACAGGGGUUAGAGAUCUGUGAGGAAAGGAGCUAAGGCUCCGCUGAAGGAAUGGCCUGCGGCCCAUUAGCUAGUUGGUGAGGUAAGAGCCCACCAAGGCGAUGAUGGGUAUCCGGCCUUAGAGGGUGAACGGACACAUUGGGACUGAGAUACGGCCCAGACUCCUACGGGAGGCAGCAGCUAAGAAUAUUCCGCAAUGGACGAAAGUCUGACGGAGCGACGCCGCGUGGAUGAAGAAGGCCGGAAGGUUGUAAAAUCCUUUUGAAACUGAAGAAUAAGCGUUGUAGGGAAUGACAGCGUGGUGACAGUAGGUUUUGAAUAAGCAACGGCUAAUUACGUGCCAGCCGCUGC
Molecule: ribosomal RNA, 510 nt
Filed under: uncultured bacterium
Lineage: Bacteria
Description: bacterial SSU rRNA
Rfam family: Bacterial small subunit ribosomal RNA
Source: RNAcentral